This 3006-nucleotide ribosomal RNA is filed under the name Salmonella enterica. Its description in RNAcentral is "bacterial LSU rRNA". It matches the Rfam family "Bacterial large subunit ribosomal RNA". The record is from RNAcentral. Lineage: Bacteria; Pseudomonadati; Pseudomonadota; Gammaproteobacteria; Enterobacterales; Enterobacteriaceae.
UUAAGCGACUAAGCGUACACGGUGGAUGCCCUGGCAGUCAGAGGCGAUGAAGGGCGUGCUAAUCUGCGAUAAGCGCCGGUAAGGUGAUAUGAACCGUUAUAACCGGCGAUACCCGAAUGGGGAAACCCAGUGUGAUUCGUCACACUAUCAUUAACUGAAUCCAUAGGUUAAUGAGGCGAACCGGGGGAACUGAAACAUCUAAGUACCCCGAGGAAAAGAAAUCAACCGAGAUUCCCCCAGUAGCGGCGAGCGAACGGGGAGGAGCCCAGAGCCUGAAUCAGCAUGUGUGUUAGUGGAAGCGUCUGGAAAGGCGCGCGAUACAGGGUGACAGCCCCGUACACAAAAGCGCAUGUGCUGUGAGCUCGAUGAGUAGGGCGGGACACGUGGUAUCCUGUCUGAAUAUGGGGGGACCAUCCUCCAAGGCUAAAUACUCCUGACUGACCGAUAGUGAACCAGUACCGUGAGGGAAAGGCGAAAAGAACCCCGGCGAGGGGAGUGAAAAAGAACCUGAAACCGUGUACGUACAAGCAGUGGGAGCCCCACCACUAAGCCAGUGGUGAACUCCACAUACGCAUCCUUUGCUGAAGGCAAUGGUUAACGGAGCGAAAGCGACGUUCAACCGCAAAACAAGCAGAGGGGGCUUAGUGGUGGGGUGACUGCGUACCUUUUGUAUAAUGGGUCAGCGACUUAUAUUCUGUAGCAAGGUUAACCGUAUAGGGGAGCCGGAGGGAAACCGAGUCUUAAUUGGGCGUUAAGUUGCAGGGUAUAGACCCGAAACCCGGUGAUCUAGCCAUGGGCAGGUUGAAGGUUGGGUAACACUAACUGGAGGACCGAACCGACUAAUGUUGAAAAAUUAGCGGAUGACCUGUGGCUGGGGGUGAAAGGCCAAUCAAACCGGGAGAUAGCUGGUUCUCCCCGAAAGCUAUUUAGGUAGCGCCUCGUGAAUUCAUCUCCGGGGGUAGAGCACUGUUUCGGCUAGGGGGCCAUCCCGGCUUACCAACCCGAUGCAAACUGCGAAUACCGGAGAAUGUUAUCACGGGAGACACACGGCGGGUGCUAACGUCCGUCGUGAAGAGGGAAACAACCCAGACCGCCAGCUAAGGUCCCAAAGUCAUGGUUAAGUGGGAAACGAUGUGGGAAGGCCCAGACAGCCAGGAUGUUGGCUUAGAAGCAGCCAUCAUUUAAAGAAAGCGUAAUAGCUCACUGGUCGAGUCGGCCUGCGCGGAAGAUGUAACGGGGCUAAACCAUGCACCGAAGCUGCGGCAGCGACACUCAGGUGUUGUUGGGUAGGGGAGCGUUCUGUAAGCCUGUGAAGGUGUGUCGUGAGGCAUGCUGGAGGUAUCAGAAGUGCGAAUGCUGACAUAAGUAACGAUAAAGCGGGUGAAAAGCCCGCUCGCCGGAAGACCAAGGGUUCCUGUCCAACGUUAAUCGGGGCAGGGUGAGUCGACCCCUAAGGCGAGGCCGAAAGGCGUAGUCGAUGGGAAACGGGUUAAUAUUCCCGUACUUGGUGUUACUGCGAAGGGGGGACGGAGAAGGCUAUGUUGGCCGGGCGACGGUUGUCCCGGUUUAAGCGUGUAGGUGUGUGUUCCAGGUAAAUCCGGUUCACUUUAACACUGAGGCGUGAUGACGAGGCACUACGGUGCUGAAGCAACAAAUGCCCUGCUUCCAGGAAAAGCCUCUAAGCAUCAGGUAACAUCAAAUCGUACCCCAAACCGACACAGGUGGUCAGGUAGAGAAUACCAAGGCGCUUGAGAGAACUCGGGUGAAGGAACUAGGCAAAAUGGUGCCGUAACUUCGGGAGAAGGCACGCUGACACGUAGGUGAAGUGAUUUACUCAUGGAGCUGAAGUCAGUCGAAGAUACCAGCUGGCUGCAACUGUUUAUUAAAAACACAGCACUGUGCAAACACGAAAGUGGACGUAUACGGUGUGACGCCUGCCCGGUGCCGGAAGGUUAAUUGAUGGGGUCAGCGCAAGCGAAGCUCCUGAUCGAAGCCCCGGUAAACGGCGGCCGUAACUAUAACGGUCCUAAGGUAGCGAAAUUCCUUGUCGGGUAAGUUCCGACCUGCACGAAUGGCGUAAUGAUGGCCAGGCUGUCUCCACCCGAGACUCAGUGAAAUUGAACUCGCUGUGAAGAUGCAGUGUACCCGCGGCAAGACGGAAAGACCCCGUGAACCUUUACUAUAGCUUGACACUGAACAUUGAGCCUUGAUGUGUAGGAUAGGUGGGAGGCUUUGAAGCGUGGACGCCAGUCUGCGUGGAGCCGACCUUGAAAUACCACCCUUUAAUGUUUGAUGUUCUAACGUGGACCCGUAAUCCGGGUUGCGGACAGUGUCUGGUGGGUAGUUUGACUGGGGCGGUCUCCUCCUAAAGAGUAACGGAGGAGCACGAAGGUUGGCUAAUCCUGGUCGGACAUCAGGAGGUUAGUGCAAUGGCAUAAGCCAGCUUGACUGCGAGCGUGACGGCGCGAGCAGGUGCGAAAGCAGGUCAUAGUGAUCCGGUGGUUCUGAAUGGAAGGGCCAUCGCUCAACGGAUAAAAGGUACUCCGGGGAUAACAGGCUGAUACCGCCCAAGAGUUCAUAUCGACGGCGGUGUUUGGCACCUCGAUGUCGGCUCAUCACAUCCUGGGGCUGAAGUAGGUCCCAAGGGUAUGGCUGUUCGCCAUUUAAAGUGGUACGCGAGCUGGGUUUAGAACGUCGUGAGACAGUUCGGUCCCUAUCUGCCGUGGGCGCUGGAGAACUGAGGGGGGCUGCUCCUAGUACGAGAGGACCGGAGUGGACGCAUCACUGGUGUUCGGGUUGUCAUGCCAAUGGCACUGCCCGGUAGCUAAAUGCGGAAGAGAUAAGUGCUGAAAGCAUCUAAGCACGAAACUUGCCCCGAGAUGAGUUCUCCCUGAGACUUAGAGUCUCCUGAAGGAACGUUGAAGACGACGACGUUGAUAGGCCGGGUGUGUAAGCGCAGCGAUGCGUUGAGCUAACCGGUACUAAUGAACCGUGAGGCUUAACCUU